CGCCCAAAUUCUGCCUGUUUGAUGUUUUUCACACAGAAAUCACUGCUGCCUUUGGAGUUCUUCUGCUGCUUGUCCCGGGGGGAGGUCUCAUCAUCAGAGCUGUCGGUGUAGGAGGCAGCUGAGCUGUAGCUGUCCGUCGAUGACUGCGAGAUGGAGCGGGACAGCGAGCGGCGGCCGAUUUUCGUUGGGCGCUUAUUGAACUCCUGCUUCUGGUCAGCAAACUGGAUCUUCUUCACGGUGCGGGGCGCUUCGCUGACGGUGCCGUCGGGGCUGACGAGCGCUUCGGCCGCCGCUCCGCCGUCCGCCGCCCCCCCCACGCCGACCCCCCCGUCUCGGUGCCGGUGCUGCGGGUGGUGGGGGUCGCUCCGCUUCAUGGCCGAGGCCUGAGGCACCUUCACCGCACCCGGCGGGGGCCUCUCGGCCGCCGUGGCCGC
This 434-nucleotide long non-coding RNA is filed under the name Gallus gallus (chicken). Lineage: Eukaryota; Metazoa; Chordata; Aves; Galliformes; Phasianidae. The record is from RNAcentral.